Uloborus diversus is the source of this 514-nucleotide long non-coding RNA. RefSeq lists it as uncharacterized. The record is from RefSeq and is a predicted model, not a curated record. The transcript has 3 exons. Lineage: Eukaryota; Metazoa; Arthropoda; Arachnida; Araneae; Uloboridae.
UCAAGAUGGAUGGCCUGUGUUGAACGAAUGUUGUCUUCCAACUAGAGUCCCUUCCAACAACUUAACGUUUUAAAUAUGUAAUGUAUGAUAUAAGUCCCACAAUAUCUGAACCAAAUAUACGUAUUGGAGAGUAGGGACUCUGACAUACAGGCUCUCAUCUAAGUAUUGCGCCUAGGCAUCGAAAGAAAGAUGUUGUCUUCGUGCUUCGUCGCCUCGCCAUGUGAUUCCAAUGUCUGGAUUCAAAAUAUUAAACAAUCCUUGCUUUUAAGUUUGAUCCAGUUUGCACAAUUGGAUGAAAAAUAACUUCUGGAUCAAGAAGUGUUUCAUCGGAAUUUAUUUAGAGGGCAAUAUUUUGGAUAAGUUACUGAACUAAAGGAUCCAAAAGGAAUAAAGAUUUGGAAAAAGUGAUUCAACCAAGUUUUGAAAAAUUUGACCAUAAUUUCUCUUCUGAAAAAGUUUAUUUGUAAUUAUGUUGUUAUUUAACUUGUAAUUAGUGUAAAAUAAACCUUUUUGA